This 1405-nucleotide ribosomal RNA is filed under the name Bordetella sp. AU12461. RNAcentral describes it as "16S ribosomal RNA". It matches the Rfam family "Bacterial small subunit ribosomal RNA". Lineage: Bacteria; Pseudomonadati; Pseudomonadota; Betaproteobacteria; Burkholderiales; Alcaligenaceae. The record is from RNAcentral.
CACAUGCAAGUCGGACGGCAGCACGGGCUUCGGCCUGGUGGCGAGUGGCGAACGGGUGAGUAAUGUAUCGGAACGUGCCCAGUAGCGGGGGAUAACUACGCGAAAGCGUGGCUAAUACCGCAUACGCCCUACGGGGGAAAGCGGGGGACCUUCGGGCCUCGCACUAUUGGAGCGGCCGAUAUCGGAUUAGCUAGUUGGUGGGGUAACGGCCUACCAAGGCGACGAUCCGUAGCUGGUUUGAGAGGACGACCAGCCACACUGGGACUGAGACACGGCCCAGACUCCUACGGGAGGCAGCAGUGGGGAAUUUUGGACAAUGGGGGCAACCCUGAUCCAGCCAUCCCGCGUGUGCGAUGAAGGCCUUCGGGUUGUAAAGCACUUUUGGCAGGAAAGAAACGGCACGGGCUAAUAUCCUGUGCAACUGACGGUACCUGCAGAAUAAGCACCGGCUAACUACGUGCCAGCAGCCGCGGUAAUACGUAGGGUGCAAGCGUUAAUCGGAAUUACUGGGCGUAAAGCGUGCGCAGGCGGUUCGGAAAGAAAGAUGUGAAAUCCCAGGGCUUAACCUUGGAACUGCAUUUUUAACUACCGGGCUAGAGUGUGUCAGAGGGAGGUGGAAUUCCGCGUGUAGCAGUGAAAUGCGUAGAUAUGCGGAGGAACACCGAUGGCGAAGGCAGCCUCCUGGGAUAACACUGACGCUCAUGCACGAAAGCGUGGGGAGCAAACAGGAUUUAGAUACCCUGGUAGUCCACGCCCUAAACGAUGUCAACUAGCUGUUGGGGCCUUCGGGCCUUGGUAGCGCAGCUAACGCGUGAAGUUGACCGCCUGGGGAGUACGGUCGCAAGAUUAAAACUCAAAGGAAUUGACGGGGACCCGCACAAGCGGUGGAUGAUGUGGAUUAAUUCGAUGCAACGCGAAAAACCUUACCUACCCUUGACAUGUCUGGAAUCCCGAAGAGAUUUGGGAGUGCUCGCAAGAGAACCGGAACACAGGUGCUGCAUGGCUGUCGUCAGCUCGUGUCGUGAGAUGUUGGGUUAAGUCCCGCAACGAGCGCAACCCUUGUCAUUAGUUGCUACGAAAGGGCACUCUAAUGAGACUGCCGGUGACAAACCGGAGGAAGGUGGGGAUGACGUCAAGUCCUCAUGGCCCUUAUGGGUAGGGCUUCACACGUCAUACAAUGGUCGGGACAGAGGGUCGCCAACCCGCGAGGGGGAGCCAAUCCCAGAAACCCGAUCGUAGUCCGGAUCGCAGUCUGCAACUCGACUGCGUGAAGUCGGAAUCGCUAGUAAUCGCGGAUCAGCAUGUCGCGGUGAAUACGUUCCCGGGUCUUGUACACACCGCCCGUCACACCAUGGGAGUGGGUUUUACCAGAAGUAGUUAGCCUAACCGCAAGGGGGGCGAUACC